This 75-nucleotide transfer RNA is filed under the name Stegodyphus mimosarum. It matches the Rfam family "tRNA". From Rfam's summary of the family: Transfer RNA (tRNA) molecules are approximately 80 nucleotides in length. Their secondary structure includes four short double-helical elements and three loops (D, anti-codon, and T loops). Further hydrogen bonds mediate the characteristic L-shaped molecular structure. tRNAs have two regions of fundamental functional importance: the anti-codon, which is responsible for specific mRNA codon recognition, and the 3' end, to which the tRNAs corresponding amino acid is attached (by aminoacyl-tRNA synthetases). tRNAs cope with the degeneracy of the genetic code in two manners: having more than one tRNA (with a specific anti-codon) for a particular amino acid; and 'wobble' base-pairing, i.e. permitting non-standard base-pairing at the 3rd anti-codon position. Lineage: Eukaryota; Metazoa; Arthropoda; Arachnida; Araneae; Eresidae. The record is from Rfam by way of RNAcentral.
GCCUUCGUGGUGUAAUGGUGUCAGCACGCUCGACGCGCAACCGAGAGGUCCUUGGUUCGAUUCCCGGCGAAGGUG